Molecule: RNA transcript, 2387 nt
Organism: Bactrocera dorsalis (oriental fruit fly)
Lineage: Eukaryota; Metazoa; Arthropoda; Insecta; Diptera; Tephritidae
Exons: 5
Source: RefSeq, a predicted model, not a curated record
UUAAUAUUGUGCAUUCAGUUAUAAAAGUGCGCUCGCGACUUAGAAACUCCAAUUGAACGUAGGAAGUGACGAGCGAUUUCUCGAAAUUAAAUUAGACAAAUGUCGAAUGCAAAAUAUGUACUACUGAGCAAACAUGAUUUUAGUGAAAUUGCAUAUGAAAAUCAAAGUCAAAAUGUGUUUGAAAAAAUCUUAGCAUUUCUAAAGCAAAAACAAUUUGCAAGAAUUUUAGCAUUUUGUGCGUUAAUUACAACACUACAACUGCUGCAUAUGCGAUUCUACUACUAUGAAACAAAUCCCGUGUAUGAGACCACAAUCCAAAUUGAAGUGUGGGAAAAUAAUGUAACGACUACAGAAUCUGUUCCAAAUGUGACAAAACAUAAUGAGACUCGAUCACAAUACGAGUACUUCAUACACACGUCACAAUGUCGCAUACCGUAUGUGGAACCUUUCGCGGAAAAUGUUCUAAAAAUUUUUAAUCCACUAAAAUACAAAUACACAAAUUGUACUAAGGAUGAAGCUUUCAUUACAAGCAUUUACCAACUAAAUGCACGACAAUACUUUCUACACAUGAAUAUGGAGAACAUAGAGCGCGCCGUUAAGCCGUUAAAUGCCACCGCUACGGAUGUGCGCUGUUGUUAUCGGCAAAUCGUCAGAGCUGGAAGUGGAGGAUCAGCUGAUUCUAAGUAUAACCUCUUAAACUGUGUUAUAUUUCAUCAGGACUUCUUGGUACCGCAACAUAUAGACUAUAUAAUUACGGAGUGCUACCUAGGCAACAAUAAUAAAAAUCCACUACAGAAAGACGCUUUUUCAUUUAUACAAGUAACAAAGAAAACAAAUAGCACAGACAACGCCACCGAAUCCAAAGUUUCGGGUAUAAGGAAGCCAAGCGUUUUGCUGAUAGGUAUAGACGCAGUUUCGCGUAUCAAUCUUCGACGCACAAUGCCACAGACGUUUAAAUAUCUGCAAAUGAAUCAAUGGCUCGAACUGCUGGGCUACAACAAAAUUGGUGAUAAUACCUUCCCCAACUUAAUGGCCUUUCUGACCUCAUACAAUUUAACGAUGGCUGAGGCGAAAUGCAUGCCCAAAAUUGUAGGGGGACUUAACAAUCCACUUUGUAACUUUAUUUGGAAUGAUUUUAAGCGAUUUGGUUAUAAAACCGCCUAUGCAGAGGACACAAGUUCAUUAAGCACUUUCAAUUAUAGAAAAAAGGGAUUUGAGCGGCCACCGACCGAUUAUUAUCUACGCCCCUUAACAAUGGCCAUAGAAAAAGUAUUGAAAGUGACCAAAAAAGCUGGACUGUCUUAUUGUGUUGGCCGCAAACACUAUGGCGAAUACAUCUAUGAUUAUGCUUUACAAUUUGCGAAUGCUUAUCCAGAAGAACCGCUCUUCGGACUAUUCUGGACAAAUUCAUUUAGCCAUAAUGCCUUUGAUAUCGAAGCAACCAUGGACGUGAAGGUGUUGGAGUAUCUGAAAAAAUUGAAAACAGAUGGCAUACUAGAGCGUUCAAUUGUGAUUUUUCUUGCUGAUCAUGGCAUUCGUUGGGGUCCAUUACUGAAAUUAAAAUCGGGUUUCUUAGAAGAACGUUUGCCAAUGUUUUUCAUAUCACUACCACCGUGGUAUCAGAAACAACAUCCCGAUUUUGUAAAAGUUCUACAAACUAAUCAGAAACGUUUAACGACACCAUAUGAUAUUUAUGCGACCAUGAAACAUAUACUUGAAGUGGCGCAGCCAGAAAUGGAAUUUCCUGAAGUGAAUGGAACAAUGCGUGGUAUUAGUAUUUUCCGUGAAAUACCAGAGAAUCGCACCUGUAAUGAUGCCGGCAUUCCCGAGCAUUGGUGUACCUGUGUACCAUAUGAAAUUGUACCCACAAAGGAUGAAGUCGCGAAGACUGUAACUUUAUUGGUAAUAAAGGACAUCAAUCAAUAUCUGGUUAAUAAAAAUAUUAGCGACAAAUGUGCCGAAUUAAAAUUAGGAACAAUCGACAGUGCUGAAAUGAAAAUGAUCAAAAUACCGAAUGAGUCCACAUACCGUAUAAGUUUCGAAGCGAAUCCGGAAAAAGCGAGAUUUCAGGCUACGGUCGUUUAUAAUAUAAUAACAAAUACAAUCAAAACAGACGUGGAAGAUAUCUCGCGCCUGGAUUCGUAUGCAAAAACUUCCAACUGCAUUGAUUUGAAAGAGGAAAAGAAAUAUUGCAUUUGUAACAAAUAAUGCUACGAAUACGAUUUGAGGAAAGCUUCGAAUAGUUUCAACCUCCCAAGAGGUAAAAGUGGAUGCGAAAUUUAUAAUUGUAAAUAGUAAUUUUAAAACCUUAUUAACUAAGUACUUAGUUUUAUUAUAUUUUUCAUUUAUAUUUAUUAUGGAGAAAUACAUAUUUUGUAAUACUGUUA